GAUGAACGCUGGCGGCGUGCCUAAUACAUGCAAGUCGAGCGAACGGACGAGAAGCUUGCUUCUCUGAUGUUAGCGGCGGACGGGUGAGUAACACGUGGAUAACCUACCUAUAAGACUGGGAUAACUUCGGGAAACCGGAGCUAAUACCGGAUAAUAUUUUGAACCGCAUGGUUCAAAAGUAAAAGACGGUCUUGCUGUCACUUAUAGAUGGAUCCGCGCUGCAUUAGCUAGUUGGUAAGGUAACGGCUUACCAAGGCAACGAUGCAUAGCCGACCUGAGAGGGUGAUCGGCCACACUGGAACUGAGACACGGUCCAGACUCCUACGGGAGGCAGCAGUAGGGAAUCUUCCGCAAUGGGCGAAAGCCUGACGGAGCAACGCCGCGUGAGUGAUGAAGGUCUUCGGAUCGUAAAACUCUGUUAUUAGGGAAGAACAUAAGUGUAAGUAACUGUGCACAUCUUGACGGUACCUAAUCAGAAAGCCACGGCUAACUACGUG
This 497-nucleotide ribosomal RNA is filed under the name uncultured bacterium. Its description in RNAcentral is "partial 16S ribosomal RNA". It matches the Rfam family "Bacterial small subunit ribosomal RNA", at positions 28 to 507 of the family's 1533-position model. The record is from RNAcentral.